Molecule: ribosomal RNA, 1550 nt
Filed under: Klebsiella pneumoniae
Lineage: Bacteria; Pseudomonadati; Pseudomonadota; Gammaproteobacteria; Enterobacterales; Enterobacteriaceae
Also listed under: 3 other names
Description: bacterial SSU rRNA
Rfam family: Bacterial small subunit ribosomal RNA
Source: RNAcentral
AAAUUGAAGAGUUUGAUCAUGGCUCAGAUUGAACGCUGGCGGCAGGCCUAACACAUGCAAGUCGAGCGGUAGCACAGAGAGCUUGCUCUCGGGUGACGAGCGGCGGACGGGUGAGUAAUGUCUGGGAAACUGCCUGAUGGAGGGGGAUAACUACUGGAAACGGUAGCUAAUACCGCAUAACGUCGCAAGACCAAAGUGGGGGACCUUCGGGCCUCAUGCCAUCAGAUGUGCCCAGAUGGGAUUAGCUAGUAGGUGGGGUAACGGCUCACCUAGGCGACGAUCCCUAGCUGGUCUGAGAGGAUGACCAGCCACACUGGAACUGAGACACGGUCCAGACUCCUACGGGAGGCAGCAGUGGGGAAUAUUGCACAAUGGGCGCAAGCCUGAUGCAGCCAUGCCGCGUGUGUGAAGAAGGCCUUCGGGUUGUAAAGCACUUUCAGCGGGGAGGAAGGCGAUAAGGUUAAUAACCUUGUCGAUUGACGUUACCCGCAGAAGAAGCACCGGCUAACUCCGUGCCAGCAGCCGCGGUAAUACGGAGGGUGCAAGCGUUAAUCGGAAUUACUGGGCGUAAAGCGCACGCAGGCGGUCUGUCAAGUCGGAUGUGAAAUCCCCGGGCUCAACCUGGGAACUGCAUUCGAAACUGGCAGGCUAGAGUCUUGUAGAGGGGGGUAGAAUUCCAGGUGUAGCGGUGAAAUGCGUAGAGAUCUGGAGGAAUACCGGUGGCGAAGGCGGCCCCCUGGACAAAGACUGACGCUCAGGUGCGAAAGCGUGGGGAGCAAACAGGAUUAGAUACCCUGGUAGUCCACGCCGUAAACGAUGUCGAUUUGGAGGUUGUGCCCUUGAGGCGUGGCUUCCGGAGCUAACGCGUUAAAUCGACCGCCUGGGGAGUACGGCCGCAAGGUUAAAACUCAAAUGAAUUGACGGGGGCCCGCACAAGCGGUGGAGCAUGUGGUUUAAUUCGAUGCAACGCGAAGAACCUUACCUGGUCUUGACAUCCACAGAACUUAGCAGAGAUGCUUUGGUGCCUUCGGGAACUGUGAGACAGGUGCUGCAUGGCUGUCGUCAGCUCGUGUUGUGAAAUGUUGGGUUAAGUCCCGCAACGAGCGCAACCCUUAUCCUUUGUUGCCAGCGGUUCGGCCGGGAACUCAAAGGAGACUGCCAGUGAUAAACUGGAGGAAGGUGGGGAUGACGUCAAGUCAUCAUGGCCCUUACGACCAGGGCUACACACGUGCUACAAUGGCAUAUACAAAGAGAAGCGACCUCGCGAGAGCAAGCGGACCUCAUAAAGUAUGUCGUAGUCCGGAUUGGAGUCUGCAACUCGACUCCAUGAAGUCGGAAUCGCUAGUAAUCGUAGAUCAGAAUGCUACGGUGAAUACGUUCCCGGGCCUUGUACACACCGCCCGUCACACCAUGGGAGUGGGUUGCAAAAGAAGUAGGUAGCUUAACCUUCGGGAGGGCGCUUACCACUUUGUGAUUCAUGACUGGGGUGAAGUCGUAACAAGGUAACCGUAGGGGAACCUGCGGUUGGAUCACCUCCUUACCUUAAAGAA